GACGAACGCUGGCGGCGUGCUUAACACAUGCAAGUCGAACGGAAAGGCCCUGCUAUUGUGGUGUUCUCGAGUGGCGAACGGGUGAGUAACACGUGAGUAACCUGCCCUUGACUUUGGGAUAACUUCAGGAAACUGGGGCUAAUACCGGAUAGGAGCUCCUGCUGCAUGGUGGGGGUUGGAAAGUUUCGGCGGUUGGGGAUGGACUCGCGGCUUAUCAGCUUGUUGGUGGGGUAGGGGCUUACCAAGGCUUUGACGGGUAGCCGGCCUGAGAGGGUGACCGGCCACAUUGGGACUGAGAUACGGCCCAGACUCCUACGGGAGGCAGCAGUGGGGAAUAUUGCACAAUGGGAGGAAGCCUGAUGCAGCAACGCCGCGUGCGGGAUGACGGCCUUCGGGUUGUAAACCGCUUUCGCCUGUGACGAAGCGUGAGUGACGGUAAUGGGUAAAGAAGCACCGGCUAACUACGUG
This 468-nucleotide ribosomal RNA is filed under the name uncultured bacterium. Its description in RNAcentral is "partial 16S ribosomal RNA". It matches the Rfam family "Bacterial small subunit ribosomal RNA", at positions 28 to 507 of the family's 1533-position model. The record is from RNAcentral.